Molecule: ribosomal RNA, 164 nt
Filed under: uncultured Chlamydiales bacterium
Lineage: Bacteria; Pseudomonadati; Chlamydiota; Chlamydiia; Chlamydiales
Description: partial 16S ribosomal RNA
Rfam family: Bacterial small subunit ribosomal RNA
Source: RNAcentral
AGCUGCAGUCGAGAUCUUUCGCAAUGGGCGCAAGCCUGACGAAGCGACGCCGUGUGAGUGAAGAAGGCCUUCGGGUUGUAAAGCUCUUUCGCUAGGGAACAAGAGAGAUGGGACAAUACCCCAUUGAUUUGAUGGUACUUGGUAAAGAAGCACCGGCUAACUCC